GAUCCCAUCUCGAACUCAGCAGUGAAACGAUUUAGCGCCGAUGGUAGUGUGGGAGUUCCCAUGUGAGAGUAGGACAUUGUCGGGC
This 85-nucleotide ribosomal RNA is filed under the name Gammaproteobacteria bacterium. The record is from RNAcentral. Lineage: Bacteria; Pseudomonadati; Pseudomonadota; Gammaproteobacteria.